GCUGUAAAUGAUGAAAAUAUGGCUCCCUCUACUGAACACUGUGAGGAGAAAAGCCUUGCUGUUACCCAAAAUUUUCUGACUUUUGCAGC
Molecule: small nucleolar RNA, 89 nt
Filed under: Leptobrachium leishanense (Leishan spiny toad)
Lineage: Eukaryota; Metazoa; Chordata; Amphibia; Anura; Megophryidae
Description: Small nucleolar RNA SNORD100 (ENSLLEG00000013755.1)
Rfam family: Small nucleolar RNA SNORD100
About the family: The members of this family belong to the C/D class of snoRNAs which contain the C (UGAUGA) and D (CUGA) box motifs. Most of the members of the box C/D family function in directing site-specific 2'-O-methylation of substrate RNAs.
Source: Rfam by way of RNAcentral